AUGUUGAGUGGGCUAGUACCUCCUGGCCUAAAUGAAAGUGAUGUUGAGUCAAACUCUGAAGAUGAAGCUACAUUGGAGAGCUCUGGGCUUAACUUACAGGAAGAUAAAGAGGAUGGGAGCAACAGAAAAGCAGAAAUCAUAGAUUUCUCAAAAGAUGAAGCAAAAAGUGAAGCAGAGUCAAAUGUAAAUGCCUAAGAAGAGAGUCCUUCUGGAAUUCCCUUAGAUAUGUGGAAUUGAACAGUCCUCAAAUGCAGCCCAGUGGAAGGAGCUUACUCAGUAUGUUGGAGUCAAUGAUAGGUUUGACCCCCCUGUUAAAAGGAAAACCACUGAGAAGGCCUCGAAAAGAGGAUAGAGCAGGCUGUGGAGGAGUGGAAUAUUGAGAGGGCUGAAGAACUCAGCAACUAGCUAGCUACUCGAGAGCUUGGUGUAAAAAUUGCCAAAGCAGUUGUCUGCCACAAGUUUGUAAAAGCCAAAAAUGGAGACUAAAAAUUCACAGGGCUGCCUGAAAAAAGAAGAAACUCGCAUGGGGGUUUGAAGCAAAGAAGAGAUGGGCAACCAAAAGCAAUGGGAUAUAUGUA
Molecule: long non-coding RNA, 578 nt
Filed under: Homo sapiens (human)
Lineage: Eukaryota; Metazoa; Chordata; Mammalia; Primates; Hominidae
Description: non-protein coding lnc-ZDHHC22-1:1
Source: RNAcentral